AGUUAUUUAGCUUAAAUUUCAAAGCAUUUAUUUUGAAAAUAAAAGAUAGAGUUAUUUAAUAACUU
This 65-nucleotide transfer RNA is filed under the name Uzeldikra longiprocessa. RNAcentral describes it as "tRNA-Ser". It matches the Rfam family "tRNA". Rfam says of the family: Transfer RNA (tRNA) molecules are approximately 80 nucleotides in length. Their secondary structure includes four short double-helical elements and three loops (D, anti-codon, and T loops). The record is from RNAcentral. Lineage: Eukaryota; Metazoa; Arthropoda; Insecta; Hemiptera; Cicadellidae.